RNAcentral lists this long non-coding RNA (250 nucleotides) under Mytilus galloprovincialis (Mediterranean mussel). Lineage: Eukaryota; Metazoa; Mollusca; Bivalvia; Mytilida; Mytilidae. The record is from RNAcentral.
UAGGUUUAUUCAUGGUCAUUAAACCAUUUAUUUGAGCUAAUUUUGAUUAUAGAUUGCAUAAUACAUACUCGUACUUAAAUCUCGUAAUUCAUGACAUUUUGAAGUGAGUUCCUUAUUUUGCAAAAACAUGAUUUCCAAACAAAAAUCUUAAAUAAGCUAUAAACGUAACAAAUUAUGAUAAUAAACGAAUAAAUAACGAACUCAAAUAUAUUGACGAAACAAUGGACAAAUCAGAUCUUAUUUCAAAAAA